This 468-nucleotide ribosomal RNA is filed under the name uncultured bacterium. Its description in RNAcentral is "partial 16S ribosomal RNA". It matches the Rfam family "Bacterial small subunit ribosomal RNA", at positions 28 to 507 of the family's 1533-position model. The record is from RNAcentral.
GACGAACGCUGGCGGCGUGCUUAACACAUGCAAGUCGAACGGAAAGGCCCUGCUUUUGUGCGGUGCUCGAGUGGCGAACGGGUGAGUAACACGUGAGUAACCUGCCCUUGAUUUUGGGAUAACUUCAGGAAACUGGGGCUACUACCGGAAAGGAGCUCAUGCUGCAUGGUGGGCGUUGGAACUUUUCGGCGUGUGGGGAUGGACUCGCGGAUUAUCAGCUUGUUGGUGGGGUAGUGGAUUACCCAGGCAUUGACGGGUAGCCGGCCUGGGAGGGUGACCGGCCACAUUGGGACUGAGAUACGGCCCAGACUCCUACGGGAGGCAGAAGUGGGGAAUAUUGCACAGUGGGCGGAAGCCUGAUGCAGCAACGCUGCGUGCGGGAUGACGGCCUUCGGGUUGUAAACCGCUUUCGCCUGUGACGAAGCGUGAGUGACGGUAAUGGGUAAAGAAGCACCGGCUAACUACGUG